CCUACGGGAGGCAGCAGUGGGGAAUAUUGCACAAUGGGCGAAAGCCUGAUGCAGCAACGCCGCGUGAGUGAUGAAGUAUUUCGGUAUGUAAAACUCUAUCAGCAGGGAAGAAGCAAGACGGUACCUACCUAAGAAGCCCCGGCUAACUACGUUCCAGCAGCCGCGGUACUACGUAGGGGGCAAGCGUUGUCCGGAUUUACUUGGUGUAAAGGGAGCGUAGUCGGUAUGGUAAGUCUGAAGUGAAAGCCCAGGGCUUAACCGUGGGACGGCAUUGGAAACUGUUAGACUAGAGUGCAGGAGAGGUAAGUGGAAUUCCUAGUGUAGCGGUGAAAUGCGCAGAGAUUAGGAGGAACACCAGUGGCGAAGGCGGCUUACUGGACAGUAACUGACGUUGAGGUUCGAAAGCGUGGGGAGCAAACAGGAUUAGAUACCCGGGUAGUC
Molecule: ribosomal RNA, 441 nt
Filed under: uncultured bacterium
Lineage: Bacteria
Description: partial 16S ribosomal RNA
Rfam family: Bacterial small subunit ribosomal RNA
Source: RNAcentral